Molecule: ribosomal RNA, 210 nt
Filed under: uncultured bacterium
Lineage: Bacteria
Description: partial 16S ribosomal RNA
Rfam family: Bacterial small subunit ribosomal RNA
Source: RNAcentral
CAUGUAGGCGGAUUAAUAAGUUUGAAGUGAAAUCCUAUAGCUUAACUAUAGAACUGCUUUGAAAACUGUUAAUCUAGAAUGUGGGAGAGGUAGAGUGGAAUUUCUGGUGUAGGGGUAAAAUCCGUAGAGAUCAGAAGGAAUACCGAUUGCGAAGGCGAUCUACUGGAACAUUAUUGACGCUGAGACGCGAAAGCGUGGGGAAGCAAACAG